AUUGAACGCUGGCGGCAGGCCUAACACAUGCAAGUCGAGCGGUAGCACAGAGAGCUUGCUCUCGGGUGACGAGCGGCGGACGGGUGAGUAAUGUCUGGGAAACUGCCUGAUGGAGGGGGAUAACUACUGGAAACGGUAGCUAAUACCGCAUAACGUCGCAAGACCAAAGUGGGGGACCUUCGGGCCUUAUGCCAUCAGAUGUGCCCAGAUGGGAUUAGCUAGUAGGUGGGGUAAUGGCUCACCUAGGCGACGAUCCCUAGCUGGUCUGAGAGGAUGACCAGCCACACUGGAACUGAGACACGGUCCAGACUCCUACGGGAGGCAGCAGUGGGGAAUAUUGCACAAUGGGCGCAAGCCUGAUGCAGCCAUGCCGCGUGUGUGAAGAAGGCCUUCGGGUUGUAAAGCACUUUCAGCGGGGAGGAAGGCGGUGAGGUUAAUAACCUCAUCGAUUGACGUUACCCGCAGAAGAAGCACCGGCUAACUCCGUGCCAGCAGCCGCGGUAAUACGGAGGGUGCAAGCGUUAAUCGGAAUUACUGGGCGUAAAGCGCACGCAGGCGGUCUGUCAAGUCGGAUGUGAAAUCCCCGGGCUCAACCUGGGAACUGCAUUCGAAACUGGCAGGCUAGAGUCUUGUAGAGGGGGGUAGAAUUCCAGGUGUAGCGGUGAAAUGCGUAGAGAUCUGGAGGAAUACCGGUGGCGAAGGCGGCCCCCUGGACAAAGACUGACGCUCAGGUGCGAAAGCGUGGGGAGCAAACAGGAUUAGAUACCCUGGUAGUCCACGCCGUAAACGAUGUCGAUUUGGAGGUUGUGCCCUUGAGGCGUGGCUUCCGGAGCUAACGCGUUAAAUCGACCGCCUGGGGAGUACGGCCGCAAGGUUAAAACUCAAAUGAAUUGACGGGGGCCCGCACAAGCGGUGGAGCAUGUGGUUUAAUUCGAUGCAACGCGAAGAACCUUACCUGGUCUUGACAUCCACAGAACUUUCCAGAGAUGGAUUGGUGCCUUCGGGAACUGUGAGACAGGUGCUGCAUGGCUGUCGUCAGCUCGUGUUGUGAAAUGUUGGGUUAAGUCCCGCAACGAGCGCAACCCUUAUCCUUUGUUGCCAGCGGUCCGGCCGGGAACUCAAAGGAGACUGCCAGUGAUAAACUGGAGGAAGGUGGGGAUGACGUCAAGUCAUCAUGGCCCUUACGACCAGGGCUACACACGUGCUACAAUGGCAUAUACAAAGAGAAGCGACCUCGCGAGAGCAAGCGGACCUCAUAAAGUAUGUCGUAGUCCGGAUUGGAGUCUGCAACUCGACUCCAUGAAGUCGGAAUCGCUAGUAAUCGUAGAUCAGAAUGCUACGGUGAAUACGUUCCCGGGCCU
This 1361-nucleotide ribosomal RNA is filed under the name uncultured bacterium. Its description in RNAcentral is "bacterial SSU rRNA". It matches the Rfam family "Bacterial small subunit ribosomal RNA", at positions 28 to 1381 of the family's 1533-position model. The record is from RNAcentral.